GAUGAACGCUGGCGGCGUGCCUAAUACAUGCAAGUCGAGCGAACAGACGAUGAGCUUGCUCCGCGGACGUGAGCGGCGGACGGGUGAGUAACACGUGUAUAACCUACCUAUAAUACGGGUAUAACUUCGGGAAACCGGAGCUAAUACGGUAUAAUAUAUUGAAGCGCAUGGUUCAAUAGAAAAAGACGGUUGUGCUGGAACGAAUAGAUGGAUCUGCGCCGCAUUAGCUAGUUGUUAAGUUAACGGCUUACGAAGGCAACGAGGCGUAGCCGACGUGAGAGGGUGAUCGGCCACACUGGAACUGAGCCGCGGUCCAUGCGCCUACGGGAGGCAGCAGUAGGGAACCUGACGCAAUGGGCGAAAGCCUGACGGAGCAACGCCGCGUGAGUGACGAAGGUCUUCGGAUCGUAAAGCUCUGUUAUUAGGGAAGAACAAAUGUGUAAGUAACUAUGCACGUAUUGACGGUACCUAAUCAGAAAGCAACGGCUAACUACGUG
RNAcentral lists this ribosomal RNA (497 nucleotides) under uncultured bacterium. Its description in RNAcentral is "partial 16S ribosomal RNA". It matches the Rfam family "Bacterial small subunit ribosomal RNA", at positions 28 to 507 of the family's 1533-position model. The record is from RNAcentral.